UACGUAGGGGGCAAGCGUUGUCCGGAAUCAUUGGGCGUAAAGCGCGUGUAGGCGGCUCGGUAAGUCUGCUGUGAAAGUCCAGGGCUCAACCCUGGGAUGCCGGUAGAUACUGUCGAGCUCGAGUCCGGAAGAGGCGAGUGGAAUUCCUGGUGUAGCGGUGAAAUGCGCAGAUAUCAGGAGGAACACCAAUGGCGAAGGCAGCUCGCUGGGACGUGACUGACGCUGAGACGCGAAAGCGUGGGGAGCAAACAGG
This 253-nucleotide ribosomal RNA is filed under the name uncultured bacterium. Its description in RNAcentral is "partial 16S ribosomal RNA". It matches the Rfam family "Bacterial small subunit ribosomal RNA", at positions 524 to 776 of the family's 1533-position model. The record is from RNAcentral.